UUGCACGCUGGCGGCAUGCCUUACACAUGCAAGUCGAACGGCAGCACGGGUGCUUGCACCUGGUGGCGAGUGGCGAACGGGCGAGUAAUACAUCGGAACAUGUCCUGUAGUGGGGGAUAGCCCGGCGAAAGCCGGAUUAAUACCGCAUACGAUCCACGGAUGAAAGCGGGGGACCUUCGGGCCUCGCGCUAUAGGGUUGGCCGAUGGCUGAUUAGCUAGUUGGUGGGGUAAAGGCCUACCAAGGCGACGAUCAGUAGCUGGUCUGAGAGGACGACCAGCCACACUGGGACUGAGACACGGCCCAGACUCCUACGGGAGGCAGCAGUGGGGAAUUUUGGACAAUGGGCGAAAGCCUGAUCCAGCAAUGCCGCGUGUGUGAAGAAGGCCUUCGGGUUGUAAAGCACUUUUGUCCGGAAAGAAAUCCUUGGCUCUAAUACAGUCGGGGGAUGACGGUACCGGAAGAAUAAGCACCGGCUAACUACGUG
Molecule: ribosomal RNA, 485 nt
Filed under: uncultured bacterium
Lineage: Bacteria
Description: partial 16S ribosomal RNA
Rfam family: Bacterial small subunit ribosomal RNA
Source: RNAcentral